This 799-nucleotide ribosomal RNA is filed under the name uncultured Glomeromycotina. RNAcentral describes it as "SSU rRNA". It matches the Rfam family "Eukaryotic small subunit ribosomal RNA", at positions 314 to 1114 of the family's 1831-position model. The record is from RNAcentral. Lineage: Eukaryota; Fungi; Glomeromycota.
AUCAACUUUCGAUGGUAGGAUAGAGGCCUACCAUGGUGGUAACGGGUAACGGGGUGUUAGGGCACGACACCGGAGAGGGAGCNUGAGAAACGGCUACCACAUCCAAGGAUGGCAGCAGGCGCGCAAAUUACCCAAUCCCGACACGGGGAGGUAGUGACAAUAAAUAACAAUACGGGGUUCUUUAGGAUUUCGUAAUUGGAAUGAGUACAAUUUAAAUCUCUUAACGAGGAACAAUUGGAGGGCAAGUCUGGUGCCAGCAGCCGCGGUAAUUCCAGCUCCAAUAGCGUAUAUUAAAGUUGUUGCAGUUAAAAAGCUCGUAGUUGAAUUUCGGGAUCAUCAGGUUGGUCGUGCCUCUGGUAUGUACUGAUUUCGAUGGUCCCUCCUUCUUGAAGAGCCGUAAUGCCAUUAAUUUGGUGUUGCGGGGAAUCAGGACUGUUACUUUGAAAAAAUUAGAGUGUUUAAAGCAGGCAAUCGCUUGAAUACAUUAGCAUGGAAUAAUGAAAUAGGACGUUCGAUCCUAUUUUGUUGGUUUCUAGGAUUGACGUAAUGAUUAAUAGGGAUAGUUGGGGGCAUUAGUAUUCAAUUGUCAGAGGUGAAAUUCUUGGAUUUAUUGAAGACUAACUACUGCGAAAGCAUUUGCCAAGGAUGUUUUCAUUAAUCAAGAACGAAAGUUAGGGGAUCGAAGACGAUCAGAUACCGUCGUAGUCUUAACCAUAAACUAUGCCGACUAGGGAUCGGAUGAUGUUAAUUUUUUAAUGACUCAUUCGGCGCCUUACGGGAAACCAAAGUGUUUGGGUUC